UACGUAGGGUGCAAGCGUUGCCCGGAAUUAUUGGGCGUAAAGAGCUCGUAGGCGGUUCAUCGCGUCAGUUGUGAAAUUUCGUGGCUUAACUGCGAAAUUGCAUCUGAUACGGGUGAACUUGAGUACGAUAGGGGAGAUUGGAAUUCCUGGUGUAGCGGUGAAAUGCGCAGAUAUCAGGAGGAACACCAGUGGCGAAGGCGGAUCUCUGGGUCGAAACUGACGCUGAGGAGCGAAAGCGUGGGGAGCAAACAGG
This 253-nucleotide ribosomal RNA is filed under the name uncultured bacterium. Its description in RNAcentral is "partial 16S ribosomal RNA". It matches the Rfam family "Bacterial small subunit ribosomal RNA", at positions 524 to 776 of the family's 1533-position model. The record is from RNAcentral.